RNAcentral lists this signal recognition particle RNA (300 nucleotides) under Oncorhynchus mykiss (rainbow trout). Its description in RNAcentral is "Metazoan signal recognition particle RNA (ENSOMYG00000050089.1)". It matches the Rfam family "Metazoan signal recognition particle RNA". From Rfam's summary of the family: The signal recognition particle (SRP) is a universally conserved ribonucleoprotein. It is involved in the co-translational targeting of proteins to membranes. The record is from RNAcentral. Lineage: Eukaryota; Metazoa; Chordata; Actinopteri; Salmoniformes; Salmonidae.
GCCGGGUGCGGUGGCAUGUGCCUGUAAUCCAAGUCACUGGGAGGCUGAGGUUGGUGGAUCAAGUGAGCUGAGGAGCUCUGGGCUGCAGCACGCUAUGUCGAACGGGUGUCCACGCUAAGUUCGGUAUCGAUAUGGUGUUCCUGGGGGAGCCCGGGACCACCAGGUUGUCUAAGGGAGGGGUGAACCGGCCCAGGUCGGAAACGAAGCAGGUCAAAUCCCCCGUGCUGUCCAGUAGUGGGAUAAUACCUGUGAGUAGAUGCUGCAGUGCAGCCUUGGCAAAACAUUGAGACCUAGUCUUUU